CUUACCUCGUGCCAUAUAUGAAGAACCGUGCAGGUCUAGAUCAAGCAUUCUCCAGGACCAUCACAGAAGACGCAACUGACGUUUCUAGAAUAUUUCAGCACUUUAUCACGUCAUAGAGGUCGGAGUAUAAGAUUUGAAGUGGCCCAAAGCAAGACCUUAGAUGCAUACUCGCAUCUUGAAAUAUAAACAUACUGCAUCUUAAAUUCUGUUAAAACUGAAUAAUAAAGUACUCUGAAUAAAAUCUUUCAAAUCACAGAGGUUUUGUCAGGCUGAGUCACAAGCUUAAACUUUACAAAGGCAUCUGAGCAUGUGUGUGUUCAGUUGAUCUGUGCUUACAAAAAUCAUGUAGUGGCAUGGAUUGCAUUUAACGCGCGCGCACACACACAUACACACCACACCACACCCUGAAUUAAAAUUAUAUUAAAAAAAAAAAAAAAACUGCUAGAGUGAUUUUCAUUUGAUGUUGGGACAAGAAAAGACCUGUGUUAUUCCAGGCCCUGACACCGAGGGUGUUGCGUUCACCUCUCUACUGAUGCGAUUAAGAUCUCCUAUCCAAUGCUAUCCCAGAAGAAUGGAAAUCUAGGCAUUCAUGUGGCAUCAUGUCUCAAUCUUCCGCCAGGACGUCCCACCGCUGCAAAGUUUACAUGUCUCACUAAAGAGCAUAAUCAGCCAAACAUAUAAACCUUAAACUCAAGCUCUUGAAAGCAACAGUGAGGCAAGGCAAGGAACUUCUCUUCAAACUAAUGCACUCUUUGGCAAAGAGCCGAACAUCAAAAUGUCUCUUCAACAUGAUAUUGAUGUCUCUCAGAAUUUCACUGCCAGCGUUUUCAAAUCAGCACUUGCAAUCUUAUCAAAGAAUGCACUGAUUCUAUCAUUUUUACAGCCCAGAAAAUGCAACUUGAGAACAUGGUGCUUGGGGACCUAUGGUUUAUUUGCAAUAGUAGAAAUGUGUAGUGGGCUGGAAGGCUUACAUUGGGCAUCCUUUACUGUUCAUUUUAGUUUUUUAGUAAAAGGGAUCUGUCAUGCCUAAUCAACAUUCAGAUUAAAUAUGUUGUACUGCUUUUGCAUGCUUGAGUACUAGUAAAUGGGUCUGACGUGACUUUAUGAAUCA
Long non-coding RNA from Carassius auratus (goldfish), 1111 nucleotides. RefSeq lists it as uncharacterized. Lineage: Eukaryota; Metazoa; Chordata; Actinopteri; Cypriniformes; Cyprinidae. The transcript has 4 exons. The record is from RefSeq and is a predicted model, not a curated record.